This 545-nucleotide small RNA is filed under the name Drosophila mojavensis. Its description in RNAcentral is "GI26243". Lineage: Eukaryota; Metazoa; Arthropoda; Insecta; Diptera; Drosophilidae. The record is from RNAcentral.
CACAUGUCAACCGAGUCACAAAAAAUACAACAGCAAAAAUAAAACAUUUGGACUCGGGUGCAAAAGGUCUUGCAGCUAUGGGCCAGACUUAUUUUAGACUAUGGAGGCAACAACAAUCUAACAAACGAAUCACAACUAACCAAAACACAGGGCCAAAUGAAUUUGUGGCGCCAAAGGGGAAACAAAAUAAAUACAGGAUAAGAAUACGUGAAAAGCAGGCGCAACAAAUCGAUUUACGACUAGAGAAAAAACAAUGAACAAAAGAAAGAAAGAGAGCAAGGGAGAGAUUGGAAAGAAACCAUGUUUGGCUAGUUCCAGGAAACAUCAAUGACUUUACUAAAAAUGGAUGAUCCAAGCGUAAAAUCCUCGCUACAACUAUUGGAACAUACUUUCAAAGGAAUCCUCGUUGAAUUGAGCUAAAUGGAUAUGCUCGCUUUGACACCCUUAGCUCAGAAGGAUAUAGUUCAUAUAUUUAAGCCGAUUGUAGAGCUGACGGAUCGGAAAAAAACUUUAUUCAAUACAGUUUUAGACAAAGAAACUCAAAA